RNAcentral lists this ribosomal RNA (468 nucleotides) under uncultured bacterium. RNAcentral's name for it is "partial 16S ribosomal RNA". It matches the Rfam family "Bacterial small subunit ribosomal RNA", at positions 28 to 507 of the family's 1533-position model. The record is from RNAcentral.
GACGAACGCUGGCGGUGUGCUUAACACAUGCAAGUCGAACGGAAAGGCCCUGCUUUUGUGGGGUGCUCGAGUGGCGAACGGGUGAGUAACACGUGAGUAACCUGCCCUUGACUUUGGGAUAACUUCAGGAAACUGGGGCUAAUACCGGAUAGGAGCUCCUGCUGCAUGGUGGGGGUUGGAAAGUUUCGGCGGUUGGGGAUGGACUCGCGGCUUAUCAGCUUGUUGGUGGGGUAGUGGCUUACCAAGGCUUUGACGGGUAGCCGGCCUGAGAGGGUGACCGGCCACAUUGGGACUGAGAUACGGCCCAGACUCCUACGGGAGGCAGCAGUGGGGAAUAUUGCACAAUGGGCGGAAGCCUGAUGCAGCAACGCCGCGUGCGGGAUGACGGCCUUCGGGUUGUAAACCGCUUUCGCCUGUGACGAAGCGUGAGUGACGGUAAUGGGUAAAGAAGCACCGGCUAACUAUGUG